RNAcentral lists this ribosomal RNA (358 nucleotides) under uncultured bacterium. Its description in RNAcentral is "bacterial SSU rRNA". It matches the Rfam family "Bacterial small subunit ribosomal RNA", at positions 1 to 334 of the family's 1533-position model. The record is from RNAcentral.
AGUAGACGUUCAGAGUUUGAUCCUGGCUCAGGAUGAACGCUGGCGGCGUGCCUAACACAUGCAAGUCGAACGGAGUAUCUUAUAUAGACUUUCUUCGGAGAUGAAAUAUUAGAUACUUAGUGGCGGACGAGUGAGUAACGCGUGGGUAACCUACCUCAUACAGGGGGAUAACAACCGGAAACGGCUGCUAAAACCGCAUAACAAAGACUAAUCGCAUGAUUAAUCUUCAAAUAUUUCAUAGGUAUGAGAUGGGCCCGCGUCUGAUUAGCUAGUUGGUGAGAUAAAAGCCCACCAAGGCGACGAUCAGUAGCCGGCUUGAGAGAGUGACCGGCCACAUUGGGACUGAGACACGGCCCAA